CGGUUGAUCCUGCCGGAGGUCACUGCUAUUGGGAUUCGACUAAGCCAUGCGAGUCGAGAGGGUUCGGCCCUCGGCUGACUGCUCAGUAACACGUGGAUAAUCUGCCCUAGGGUGGAGGAUAACCUCGGGAAACUGAGGACAAUACUCCAUAGAUCUAGGAUGCUGGAAUGCACCUAGGUUGAAAGCUCCGGCGCCCUAGGAUGAGUCUGCGGACUAUCAGGUUGUAGUCAGGGUAAUGACCUGACUAGCCUACGACGGAUACGGGUUGUGAGAGCAAUAACCCGGAGAUGAUAUCUGAGACACGAUAUCAGGCCCUACGGGGCGCAGCAGGCGCGAAAACUUCACACUGUGCGAAAGCACGAUGAGGGAAUCCCAAGUGCCAGCUCGUAAGAGUUGGCUGUUUUUCUGUCUAAAAAACAGAGAGAGUAAGGGCUGGGUAAGACGGGUGCCAGCCGCCGCGGUAAUACCUGCAGCUCAAGUGGUGACCACUAUUAUUGGGCCUAAAACGUCCGUAGCCGGUUUAUUAAAUGCCCGGGUAAAUCGGACCGCUUAACGGUUCGAAUUCCGGGUAGACUGAUAGACUUGGGACCGGGAGAAGCUAGAGGUACUCCUAGGGUAGAGGUGAAAUUCUGUAAUCCUAGGGGGACCACCAGUGGCGAAGGCGUCUGGCUAGAACGGGUCCGACGGUGAGGGACGAAAGCCGGGGGCGCAAACCGGAUUAGAUACCCGGGUAGUCCCGGCUGUAAACGCUGCGGGCUUGGUGUUAGUGUGGCUACGAGCCACAUUAGUGUCGCAGGGAAGCCGUUAAGCCCGCUGCCUGGGGAGUACGGCCGCAAGGCUGAAACUUAAAGGAAUUGGCGGGGGAGCAC
RNAcentral lists this ribosomal RNA (869 nucleotides) under uncultured archaeon. Its description in RNAcentral is "bacterial SSU rRNA". It matches the Rfam family "Archaeal small subunit ribosomal RNA", at positions 5 to 879 of the family's 1478-position model. The record is from RNAcentral.